UGGGGAAUAUUGCACAAUGGGCGAANUNCUGAUGCAGCGACGCCGCGUGAGGGAUGAAGGCCUUCGGGUUGUAAACCUCUUUCAGUAGGGAAGAAGCGAAAGUGACGGUACCUGCAGAAGAAGCGCCGGCUAACUACGUGCCAGCAGCCGCGGUAAUACGUAGGGCGCAAGCGUUGUCCGGAAUUAUUGGGCGUAAAGAGCUCGUAGGCGGUUUGUCGCGUCUGGUGUGAAAACUCAAGGCUCAACCUUGAGCUUGCAUCGGGUACGGGCAGACUAGAGUGUGGUAGGGGUGACUGGAAUUCCUGGUGUAGCGGUGGAAUGCGCAGAUAUCAGGAGGAACACCGAUGGCGAAGGCAGGUCACUGGGCCACUACUGACGCUGAGGAGCGAAAGCAUGGGGAGCGAACAGGAUUAGAUACCCUGGUAGUCCAUGCCGUAAACGUUGGGCACUAGGUGUGGGGCUCAUUCCACGAGUUCCGCGCCGCAGCUAACGCAUUAAGUGCCCCGCCUGGGGAGUACGGCCGCAAGGCU
RNAcentral lists this ribosomal RNA (530 nucleotides) under uncultured bacterium. RNAcentral's name for it is "bacterial SSU rRNA". It matches the Rfam family "Bacterial small subunit ribosomal RNA", at positions 355 to 895 of the family's 1533-position model. The record is from RNAcentral.